Molecule: ribosomal RNA, 468 nt
Filed under: uncultured bacterium
Lineage: Bacteria
Description: partial 16S ribosomal RNA
Rfam family: Bacterial small subunit ribosomal RNA
Source: RNAcentral
GACGAACGCUGGCGGCGUGCUUAACACAUGCAAGUCGAACGGAAAGGCCCUGCUUUUGUGGGGUGCUCGAGUGGCGAACGGGUGAGUAACACGUGAGUAACCUGCCCUUGACUUUGGGAUAACUUCAGGAAACUGGGGCUAAUACCGGAUAGGAGCUCCUGCUGCAUGGUGGGGGUUGGAAAGUUUCGGCGGUUGGGGAUGGACUCGCGGCUUAUCAGCUUGUUGGUGGGGUAGUGGCUUACCAAGGCUUUGACGGGUAGCCGGCCUGAGAGGGUGACCGGCCACAUUGGUACUGAGAUACGGCCCAGAAUCCUACGGGAGGCAGCAGUGGGGAAUAUUGCACAAUGGGCGGAAGCCUGAUGCAGCAACGCCGCGUGCGGGAUGACGGCCUUCGGGUUGUAAACCGCUUUCGCCUGUGACGAAGCGAGAGUGACGGUAACGGGUAAAGAAGCACCGGCUAACUACGUG